Molecule: transfer-messenger RNA, 404 nt
Filed under: fish gut metagenome
Rfam family: transfer-messenger RNA
About the family: Bacterial tmRNA, also known as 10Sa RNA or SsrA, is named for its dual tRNA and mRNA-like properties.
Source: RNAcentral
GGGGCUGACAUGGAUUUGACAGCAGGAUGAGGUGUUGUGUAAGCACGCAGAGAGUCGGCAGUCGCUCUCUAUAAUCAAUGGCUUUCAAAGAUUAUCUGGCGAAAAUAAUUACGCUCUCGCUGCCUAACUGAAGUACAGUAGGUUACUGGCUUAAUCCUGACACCAGGUGUCGGGACGAGAUGUCACUCAACGAGCCCUUUCUCCGAGGCGCAUUGAUAUAGUGGCACAGCGAAAAUCGGGGAUAGUUGCCUGUGGCCUCGCGCAGGUGAUGACAUCAUAGAGGAUAAGGUGCAAAUGGGUGGUCCAGGUCUUGUUUGCACACGAAAACCGAAGUCUGGAAUAAGCGUGUAGAAAGCACAGUGCGUCCCUGUUUGGACGAGGGUUCAAUCCCCUCCAGCUCCACU